Quercus robur (English oak) is the source of this 785-nucleotide long non-coding RNA. RefSeq lists it as uncharacterized. The record is from RefSeq and is a predicted model, not a curated record. The transcript is spliced from 3 exons. NCBI's taxonomy places the organism in Eukaryota, Viridiplantae, Streptophyta, Magnoliopsida, Fagales, Fagaceae.
GGCAUUUUUAAUUCACCAGAGCAAAUAUAAUCAGGGAAUAAUUGUCUACUCCUUACAUUCUCCAUGUGGUGAUGGUUUAUUACAUUUUUGGACGGAUGACCACUUGCAGUUGUUCUGAAUGGAAUGCUGCUAUGCCAUAAUUCAUGAUGAUGUUUUCUAAAUAAUGCUCCCUUAUUCAUGCUUGUAUUAUUAGAACUGGAACAGAUUUGAUCAGAAUUUCAAGACUUUCCAUUGCUAGUUUCUCUAAUGCAUGUUGUGGCUCACAUAUUGUAAUAAUAGAAUCGUAAUCGAACUUUCGAUAAAUUAAUAUUUUGAAUGUAGGAAGCUUUCUUUCCAAUUGUUCUCUCCUUUGCACUAUAAUUGUUUUGAAGUCAUUUUUCUCAUACAGUUUCUUCUCUUUUGGUAUUCGAAAUGUGCUAAUUAUCAUCAGCAAAUUUUGAGAAAAUUUUUAUUUGUUUUCUCUACUUGGCCAUGUGAGUGUGCUGUCUCCUCCUUGCGUGGUUAUCGAUGGUGUUGAUGUAGCUUGUGUUGUUGCUCCUCCGUUCUCCAUUUGUCUGAUUUUUUUUGUUGGUGGUCGCGGGUGAUAAAUGAAGACAUGAUUUCUAGAGAAAACCUUGAUUGAGAGAACCACUUGUAAGAUUUUUUGAAGAGCUUUAUAAUUUUAGGGACCCAAUCACUCAAAGGUAUGGGUCUUUUCAUUUUUUUCUUUGUUUAUGGAUUAUUACAAAAUUGCUAGAGCAUUGGUAUGUAUUUUUUUUUUUUUUUUUUGGGGAUGAAAUUGAUUC